Molecule: non-coding RNA, 85 nt
Organism: Felis catus (domestic cat)
Lineage: Eukaryota; Metazoa; Chordata; Mammalia; Carnivora; Felidae
Source: Rfam
GCCUGGGUGGCUCAGUCGGUUAAGCGCCCAACUUCAGCUCGGGUCAUGAUCUCACAGUUCAUGGGUUCGAGCCCCACAUCAGGCU